UGAAUACGAGACGCUACGGCGUCGAAGCAGUCUAUGUCAUACUUCCAAGAAAAGCUUGCACUGUCAUAAACAAAUAAUGCCUGUACCAUAACCGACACAGGUGGGUAGGUAGAGUAUACUAAGGGGCGCGAGAUAACUCUCUCUAAGGAACUCGGCAAAAUGACUCCGUAACUUCGGGAGAAGGAGUGCCUUAUUUAUAAGGUUGCAAUAACAAGAUCCAAGCAACUGUUUAUCAAAAACACAGGUCUCCGCUAAGUCGUAAGACGAUGUAUGGGGGCUGACGCCUGCCCAGUGCCAGAAGGUUAAAGAAGUUGGUUAGCAUUAGCGAAGCUGAUAACUGAAGCCCUGGUGAACGGCGGCCGUAACAAUAACGGUCCUAAGGUAGCGAAAUUCCUUGUCGGGUAAGUUCCGACCCGCACGAAAGGCGUAAUGAUUUGGAUACUGUCUCGGAGAGGGGCUCGGUGAAAUAGACUUGUCUGUGAAGAUGCGGACUACCUGCACCUGGACAGAAAGACCCUAUGAAGCUUUACUGUAACUUGAAAUUGAAAUUGGACUUUAUUUGCGCAGCAUAGGUGGGAGGCGUUGAAAAUAUUCUUGCGGGAAUAUCUGAGCCAUCAGUGAGAUACCACUCUUGUAAUGUUAGAUUUCUAACUUUGUAUCAUUAUCUGGUCAAAGAACAGUUUCAGGCGGGCAGUUUGACUGGGGCGGUCGCCUCCUAAACGGUAACGGAGGCGCACAAAGGUUUCCUCUGAACGGGUAGAAAUCGUAUCUAGAGUGUAAAGGCAUAAGGAAGCUUGACUGUGAGACCUACAAGUCGAGCAGGGACGAAAGUCGGUCUUAGUGAUCUGACGGUGCUGAGUGGAAAGGCCGUCACUCAACGGAUAAAAGUUACUCUAAGGAUAACAGGCUGAUCUCCCCCAAGAGUUCACAUCGACGGGGAGGUUUGGCACCUCGAUGUCGGCUCAUCGCAUCCUGGGGCGGUAGUACGUCCCAAGGGUUGGGCUGUUCGCCCAUGAAAGCGGUACGCGAGCUGGGUUCAGAACGUCGUGAGACAGUUCGGUCCAUAUCCGGUGUAGGCGUUAGAAUAUUGAGAGGAGCCUUCUUUAGUACGAGAGGACCGAGAAGGACAUACCUCUGGUGUACCAGUUAUCGUGCCAACGGUAAACGCUGGGUAGCUAUGUAUGGAGAGGAUAACCGCUGAAAGCAUCUAGGUGGGAAGCCCACCUCAAGAUAAG
This 1235-nucleotide ribosomal RNA is filed under the name metagenome. RNAcentral's name for it is "bacterial LSU rRNA". It matches the Rfam family "Bacterial large subunit ribosomal RNA", at positions 1564 to 2808 of the family's 2925-position model. The record is from RNAcentral.